Molecule: long non-coding RNA, 488 nt
Filed under: Marmota monax (woodchuck)
Lineage: Eukaryota; Metazoa; Chordata; Mammalia; Rodentia; Sciuridae
Source: RNAcentral
GUUUUUUUAAGACAUGAUUCUCUUGACUUUUAAUCACAGGAUUGUUUCUAGAUUUUAUUGUUUCACAUUUGUCAAAAACAAAAAAUUAAUCUAUAAAAAAGAAAGACACCAACCUGAGAAUGGCAAAUGUCUUGGUGGUGGAGAAUCUCAGCCCAUUCUAGACCAGGCAAAGCAGAAAUUUCAGUAUUUCUCUUGGAAAACACAUGGAUUCUGGCACCUGGAAUUUAAAUAAUUGUUUGUCUCCUUUUCUUAUCAGUUAUCCCCCCUCCAUGAAACCAUCUCAAACUAUGCUAUUGAACAAGUGUUAAACCAUAUUAUCUCGGAUUCAGAAUUCGUCUAAUAGACCUGGUAAUGAAUAUGAGAAAAUGCCAAACUGCCAAGAACAAGAAGGAUCCUAAACUUUUACUUGCUUUUUAAUUGUUGUUUGCAUUGAAGCUUGUCAGUUUAAUGUGCUUCUUUUAUACCAUUAUGUGAUCUUUGAGGAUGUG